Molecule: ribosomal RNA, 231 nt
Filed under: uncultured bacterium
Lineage: Bacteria
Description: partial 16S ribosomal RNA
Rfam family: Bacterial small subunit ribosomal RNA
Source: RNAcentral
UACGUAGGGCGCAAGCGUUGUCCGGAAUUAUUGGGCGUAAAGAGCUCGUAGGCGGUUUGUCGCGUCUGCUGUGAAAACCUAAGGCUCAACCUUGGGCUUGCAGUGGGUACGGGCAGACUAGAGUGCGGUAGGGGUGACUGGAAUUCCUGGUGUAGCGGUGGAAUGCGCAGAUAUCAGGAGGAACACCGAUGGCGAAGGCAGGUCACUGGGCCGCAACUGACGCUGGAGGAG